This is an RNA transcript of Brassica napus (rape), 932 nucleotides long. It is a transcript of the gene named PLAT domain-containing protein 2, with no coding region annotated. Lineage: Eukaryota; Viridiplantae; Streptophyta; Magnoliopsida; Brassicales; Brassicaceae. The record is from RefSeq and is a predicted model, not a curated record. The transcript is spliced from 2 exons.
UAGUUUUUAAUUAUAUUUACUAGGGAGAACCACAUUUUAAUAAAUGUGUUGAAUGGGAAAUGAAUUGCAGUUCAUUCACUCUUGCAUGUGAUCUGCUUUUAUCUGCCCUUCCUAAGUCUCAAACUAUAUUAGUAGUUGGGACAGAUCAGUUGUCCAUUUUCUUACAUUCAUAUCACCAACUAUGGCUGGACGUGAAGUUCUCCUCCUCUCCCUCCUCAUCAUCAUCACCAUCUCUGUCGUUGCAUUCGCCGACCGUGAACCACACUGCGUCUACACAUUCUACAUCGAAACCGGACCGGUGGACGGUGCCGGCACAGAUUCGAUCAUAAGCGUUAAAAUCUCCGACAAAUCUGGACAGAACAUUGAUAUCCAAGACAUAGUGACAUGGGGUGGGUUAAUGGGACCAAGUUACGACUACUUCGAGAAAGGCAGUUUGGACAUUUUCAGUGGUAAGGCGCAGUGUCUUCCAAGCCCGGUUUGUUCACUGAGUCUGACCUCUGACGGCUCCGGCGUUUACCCCGCCUGGUAUGUUAACUACGUGGAUCUCACAACGGUCAGUGUUCAUGUAAAGAGUGCACAUCAAUACUUCGAUGUGGAGCAAUGGCUUGCGACCGAUACGCCUCCAUAUAAUCUCACUGUCGUACGGAACAACUGCCAGGUUUCUCCUAUGGAGAGUACUAUCGGUCGGGUCGGGUAGGCUCUGAGAUCCGGAAGAGUCUCUCCUAGGAUCGUGUUGUAAAUCAAUGUCUGGGAGAUUUGUGUUGAAGUGUGGUUGCAAUAAUGUAAACGAUCCGAUCGAAUAAAACUGUCGUCUAUGAACAUUUGAUAGAGUAAUGUAAAAUGAACUGAUCGAAUAAAAUCAUAUAUAUGAACGUGUGAUUGCAAUAAGAAGAGUCAAUGUCUUCAUCUAAUGUUUUAAUCUGUUCAUCUUU